Molecule: long non-coding RNA, 728 nt
Filed under: Crocodylus porosus (Australian saltwater crocodile)
Lineage: Eukaryota; Metazoa; Chordata; Crocodylia; Crocodylidae
Description: lncRNA (ENSCPRG00005003390.1)
Source: RNAcentral
CAGGGGCAGGGCCGGCGGGGAAACCCGCGCGCUCCCCGUGACUAGCAACGCCCGGGCCUGGCACCGCAUCCCGGCUGGGCUGUCCCGGCACCGCCGGUGGAGGGCCCGCGGGCGCCCCUGGGGAAAGGGCAUGUGGCAGGGCAGGAGCCUCGAGGGUUAGACGGGAGUCAUCCAAUUCCCCUAGCCCCAGGCACGUAUCCAGCAGCGCGGGCGGGGCCGGGGGCAGGGGCUGGCCGCAGGGAGCCUCGGGGCCGACGGGCACCGCUCCCGCCUGGCUCGGACUACAUCUCCCAGGCGCCCCGCUCCCUGCAAGCCCCGCCCCAACCCUUGCUGGCUCUCUGAUUGGCUGCCGCCUCAGCCGACUUCUUUCCGUCUCCCGCUCAUUGGUGGCUCCCGCUGUCGCUCGGGAGGUUGGGGAGUGCGGAAGCAGGAGCGGAGCGGAGGCUCUGCGGGCCGAUCCGGACUGGCCGAGCCCGCGGCGCCCCGGGCCCGCGCACAGCAUAAUGCCAGGAUUGAUUAAUGAAACGCAAUGUAGCAAGAGAGGUCUUAUGCCAUCAGGAAUAGUGCAGAUGAGUAAAAGCAGCAAGAUCCCCAAUGGGAAAGAUGACACCAGUAAUCCAUUCUAUUGGGGAUGCUUGAAAUAUAGAAAGGAGACCUCACAGAAAGCCAGGAUGUGUGCAGCUAUUUUUAACAAUGUUAAAUUACAUUCAAAAGUAAUGACAAGGUGA